RNAcentral lists this ribosomal RNA (1425 nucleotides) under Klebsiella quasipneumoniae. RNAcentral describes it as "bacterial SSU rRNA". Lineage: Bacteria; Pseudomonadati; Pseudomonadota; Gammaproteobacteria; Enterobacterales; Enterobacteriaceae. The record is from RNAcentral.
UCUCGGGUGACGAGCGGCGGACGGGUGAGUAAUGUCUGGGAAACUGCCUGAUGGAGGGGGAUAACUACUGGAAACGGUAGCUAAUACCGCAUAAUGUCGCAAGACCAAAGUGGGGGACCUUCGGGCCUCAUGCCAUCAGAUGUGCCCAGAUGGGAUUAGCUAGUAGGUGGGGUAACGGCUCACCUAGGCGACGAUCCCUAGCUGGUCUGAGAGGAUGACCAGCCACACUGGAACUGAGACACGGUCCAGACUCCUACGGGAGGCAGCAGUGGGGAAUAUUGCACAAUGGGCGCAAGCCUGAUGCAGCCAUGCCGCGUGUGUGAAGAAGGCCUUCGGGUUGUAAAGCACUUUCAGCGGGGAGGAAGGCGUUAAGGUUAAUAACCUUGGCGAUUGACGUUACCCGCAGAAGAAGCACCGGCUAACUCCGUGCCAGCAGCCGCGGUAAUACGGAGGGUGCAAGCGUUAAUCGGAAUUACUGGGCGUAAAGCGCACGCAGGCGGUCUGUCAAGUCGGAUGUGAAAUCCCCGGGCUCAACCUGGGAACUGCAUUCGAAACUGGCAGGCUAGAGUCUUGUAGAGGGGGGUAGAAUUCCAGGUGUAGCGGUGAAAUGCGUAGAGAUCUGGAGGAAUACCGGUGGCGAAGGCGGCCCCCUGGACAAAGACUGACGCUCAGGUGCGAAAGCGUGGGGAGCAAACAGGAUUAGAUACCCUGGUAGUCCACGCCGUAAACGAUGUCGAUUUGGAGGUUGUGCCCUUGAGGCGUGGCUUCCGGAGCUAACGCGUUAAAUCGACCGCCUGGGGAGUACGGCCGCAAGGUUAAAACUCAAAUGAAUUGACGGGGGCCCGCACAAGCGGUGGAGCAUGUGGUUUAAUUCGAUGCAACGCGAAGAACCUUACCUGGUCUUGACAUCCACAGAACUUUCCAGAGAUGCUUUGGUGCCUUCGGGAACUGUGAGACAGGUGCUGCAUGGCUGUCGUCAGCUCGUGUUGUGAAAUGUUGGGUUAAGUCCCGCAACGAGCGCAACCCUUAUCCUUUGUUGCCAGCGGUUMGGCCGGGAACUCAAAGGAGACUGCCAGUGAUAAACUGGAGGAAGGUGGGGAUGACGUCAAGUCAUCAUGGCCCUUACGACCAGGGCUACACACGUGCUACAAUGGCAUAUACAAAGAGAAGCGACCUCGCGAGAGCAAGCGGACCUCAUAAAGUAUGUCGUAGUCCGGAUUGGAGUCUGCAACUCGACUCCAUGAAGUCGGAAUCGCUAGUAAUCGUAGAUCAGAAUGCUACGGUGAAUACGUUCCCGGGCCUUGUACACACCGCCCGUCACACCAUGGGAGUGGGUUGCAAAAGAAGUAGGUAGCUUAACCUUCGGGAGGGCGCUUACCACUUUGUGAUUCAUGACUGGGGUGAAGUCGUAACAAGGUAACCGUA